Molecule: long non-coding RNA, 305 nt
Organism: Canis lupus familiaris (dog)
Lineage: Eukaryota; Metazoa; Chordata; Mammalia; Carnivora; Canidae
Exons: 2
Source: RefSeq, a predicted model, not a curated record
CCCCCCCCCCUUUUUGGACUUUUGAGUGGUGGAGAGGUUGCACCGCGGUGAGCAGAGACACAAGGGAAAGAGAAGUGGGAAGAAAGCACCAUCCAACCUCAGUCAACCCUAUCUGUUGAGAUCGGUCAGCAGUACAAUGGGGACUCCACACCCAAUGUGGAGCCCAGCAUGGAACUUGAACUCACAACCCUGAGAUCAACACCUGAGCUGAGAUCAAGAGUCGAAUGCUUAACCAACUGAGCCACCCAAGCACCCCUAAAUGCUUACUUUUAUUUGCCCUAAUAAACUCUAGUUUCAAAAGGUAA